RNAcentral lists this small RNA (3017 nucleotides) under Pan troglodytes (chimpanzee). RNAcentral describes it as "retained intron". The record is from RNAcentral. Lineage: Eukaryota; Metazoa; Chordata; Mammalia; Primates; Hominidae.
AAUUAAAGGUGGAAAAAGGGGAAACGUCCCUGCAAAGUUCUGAGACACAUCCUCCUGAAGUGGCUCUUCCUCCUGCGGGGGGGCCGCCUGCCCUGGAAAAUUCCACUGCUCUCCUUGAGGGAGUUAAUACAGUUGUGGUGACAACUUCUGCCCCAGAGGCUUUGCUGGCCUCCUGGGCGAGAAUUUCAGCCAGGGCGAGGACGCCAGAGGCAGUGGAAUCUCCACAAGAGGCCUCUGGUAAGCACAACAUGAAGAGCUUAUUCUGGUCCAAUGGGGAAAUAAGCUUAGUAGAUAUCAAUCACUGGUACAUUUUAGGGUAUAUCAAAAUCCCUUUGAGGGCCGGUGAUUCCUGGACCCUGCCCACAGAGUUUCUGAUGCAGGUCUAGGGCAGGACCUGAGCAUUUGCAUUUCUUUUUUUUUUUUCCUUUUUUUUUUUUUUUUUUUGAGACAGUUUCUCCCUUGUUGCCCAGGCUAGAGUGCAGUGGCACGAUCUCAGCUCACUGCAACCUCCACCUCCCAGGUUCAAGCAGUUCUCCUGCCUCAGCCUUCCUGAGUAGCUGGGAUUACAGGCAUGUGCCACCAUGCCUGGCUAAUGUUGUGUUUUUAGUAGAGAUGGGGUUUCUCCAUGUUGGUCAGGCUGGUCUCGAACUCCCGCCCUCAGAUGAUCCUCCCACCUUGGCCUCCCAAAGUGCUGGGAUUACAGGCGUGAGCCACCGCACCUGGCAAGAGUUUGCAUCUCUAACAGUUUCCCAGGCAGUACUAAGGAUGCUGGUCUGGGGACCACAGUUUGAGAACCACUGCUCUAAAUUAUUGAUGGCAUCAGAAGGGGAUAGCAGUCUGGUUUUCUUUCUUUACCCUUUAAGCAAUUUAAAUUAAAGGCAAGGUCUAAAAUUAAUUGCCUGCAACUGAGCCCCAGAAUGGCAUUAAUAAGUUAUUUAAAAUAUUUCCCAGCGUUUUCAUUGUAAAAUGGGUAAUACCUACCUUAUAUGUUGGAAGAAUUACAGAAAAUACAACAAAAGAAGACAAACUGCUUAGCAUAAUCCAAUGUGUGUUAAGAGCUGAGACCCCUGAGCUUAUUUCAUGAAGCCCUUUCCAGACACUCUGGGUUAGUCUUUCUACCAUCUGCCCACCUACAACUAUACUACUUCCAACUACAUUUUUAAGUUUUAACAGGAACUGUCUUGUAUGCUUUUUGUUUUGUUUUGCUUUUGAUAUGGAGUCUCGCUCUGUCACCCAGGCUGGAGUGCAGUGGUGCAAUCUUGGCUCACUGCAAGCACCGCCUCCCGGGUUCACGCCAUUCUCCUGCCUCAGCCUCGUGAGUAGCUGGGACUACAGGCCCCCGCCACCACGCCUGGCUAAUUUUUUGUAUUUUUAGUAGAAACGGGGUUUCACUGUGUUAGCCAGGAUGGUCUCGAUCUCCUGACCUCGUGAUCCACCCGCCUCGGCCUCCCAAAGUGCUGGGAUUACAAGCGUGAGCCACUGCGCCCAGCUUGUAUGCUUUUCUAAAGGAGAACAGAAUAGAGAAGAGGUUAAGUUAGGAUUUCAGGGUUCACAUCUUGGAGCUGGUUAAUCAAGGGUGAUGGGCCAUAAUGCAGUCUUACAUCAGUAUGUCAUCCUGGUGUGUGGGUACCUGUCUCUUUCCUUUGCCAUUGCCAGGUGUCAGGUGGUGUGUGGUCCAUGGGAAAAGUCUCCCUGCAGACACAGAUGGUUGGGUUCACUUGCAGUUUCAUGCUGGUCAAGCCUGGGUUCCAGAAAAGCAAGAAGGGAGAGUGAGUGCACUCUUCUUGCUUCCUGCCUCCAAUUUUCCACCCCCGCACCUUGAAGACAAUAUGUUGUGCCCCAAAUGUGUUCACAGGAACAAGGUCUUAAUAAAAAGCCUCCAAUGGGAAUAGAAUAUCAGGAAAAAGGCCACAUCUAUGGUAAUUAAUGGCAGAAAAGCUGGAGAGUUGGAUUCUGCGGUGCUGCUGACAGGUGAACUCUGGUCCUCUGCACCUGUUUAUGGGCCAUGCAGACUGGUGGGGUGGCAGAUGUUAGCCUAAGACCCCUAGCAGUGCCUGUUGCUUUGUGAGUGGAGAUAGAGACUCUUACAUUUAAAAAUGGAAAAACAUUUCACAAAUUACCAUAAAUUGUAGUUAAUAUGUAGAAAAACUCAUUCAUACUACUUUUCUAAAAUAGACGUGACUUCAGCAGCAGCUUUGUUGUUGUAUUUUGAGACAGUGUCCCACUGUUGCCCAGGCUGGAGUGCAGUGGUGCAAUCUCAGUUCAGUGCAAUCUCUGCCUCCUGGGUUCAAAUGAUUCUCCUGCCUCAGCCUCCUGAGUAGCUAGGUACAGGCACCUGCCACCACACCCAGCUAAUUUUUUGUAUUUUUAGUAGAGAUGGGGUUUCACCAUGUUGACCAGGUUGGUCUCAAACUCCUAGACUCAAGUGAUCACCCUCCUCAGCCUCCCAAAAUGCUGGGACUAUUGGCAUGAGCCCCUGCGCCUGACCUUCAACAGCUCUUUUGAGUUCUUCAGCUAAGCAUUAUGAUGGACUUGAGUAAAAUGGUAGUUGGCUCUUGUGCUCAAUUUUCUCUUCCUCUGAACACUGACUACUUUAGGAGCUGCUUCAUUCCAAUUGCAAUUUCAUAAAACGUAAAGUAUUUUAAGGCAAAGAAAGGCUGUUAAUUCCCUCCCUCCCCCAAACACAUGAUUUUUAAUAUUCUAAACAAUAUUUUUCAAAGUUCUCUUAAUAACCUGAGAUUUCUAUGGUUUGACUCCAGGAUCAAAACACAAGGGACUUUGUAUUAUUUCACUUAUAAUUGUUUUGUAUAUUUCUGGAGUUUAAAAUGUUUAAGGUUGCUUCCCACUCAUAAAUACAUAAUAUAUUGAACUUAAAAUGUGUUUAUUAACCGAUUCUCCAUAAAUAAAAAUAAGACCUGUAUGUAAAAUAAUUCAUCUGUUGUAUUUAACCAUAUUCAUUGCAUGCAAAUUUUAUUGUUAGUGUUCUUAACUCAAGUAGGAGUAAACCAAAAAGUGUG